CGUGUGCAUCCCCACAGGCUAGGUAGCGGGAGCUAUGAACAAGUAAGAGGGGAUGAAAAUCAUGCAGGGUAGUGGGCACUAGAGUGGAGUGUAGACUGUCGAUGUUGACUUGGUUACUGUUCAUCAAGUGGGGCUGAUGUAGAUGGGAUGGGAGAGGGAGGCGGGCAUGAGGGCAAGAUUAAAUGCACUAAUAGAGCUCUGUGUAGUGAUGGUACUUACUUGACUUUAUUAGUUUGCAGAGGAAUCAUCCAGGAGCCCUCGCCAGAUGAGAAUAUGCAGAAGUGGACCUCAGCAGUCUGGACAUCCUUUUAAGGAGACAUGGAAAAGGCAGAAAGAUGAGGAAUAUUCAUAACUGCCUGUGAAUAAGAGUACCAAGGAAAAAGAAGUCACGGUCAGAGUCUACUGUCCUCAUGUGAUGGAAAGUGAGCGAGAGCGACGAGACCACGAGCAUUGUCGAAAUCAAGCAUUAGCCGUGCAUCUGGGAGCGGAGCAGCUACUGCUGUCAGUGAGAUAAGUGUCUGUUCUGGUGAGAGCUCUGCUCACGGCCCACCUGGCUCCAGGUAGGGACGUCUUGUUAGUUGGGUCUGGGUUUGUAACAAAAUGUUCAUGGCUAGCUGUGGUUAUGAGGGAGACUGGGUCCCCAUUUUCAGGGUCUGCUCAUGUGUCUGCUGACAAGUGAUGUGUCCUCUGCAGAAAAGGUAGGUUCCAGGUGGCGAGUUGCUUGCCUUCCUCCCGUGUUUCUUUCUUUCUCUCUCUUCUCUAGCGUUGGCCAACACACUCUGUCAGUCUGUCCUUGCCUCUUUUUCUGCUGUUUCACUUCAUUGCACACAGGCAGGUGAGUUAGCUGUGUAUCCCCAGAGGCCAGGUCUCAGGAAGCAUGGCGAAGUAGGAGAGGACGAAAAUAAUGCAGGGAAGUGGGUGUGAGAGUGGAGGCAGGUACUGGAAGGUCUUGUGCACCUGUAGUGUUUUUGGCAGUGAUGGCUCUUCCAUAGGUGGUUUGCUGUUCUUGCGGAGGGCUGCUCCAGGGCAGUGGAGCAUCUGCAGGAAGCAGACCUGCACAAUCUAGCUGUUUCACUUUGCAGUGGAGCUGAGGAGUGCUCUUGUAAUGUUGGAGGAGCAGGUGCGUGUUUUUGUGAAAUGAUAUUUCUCUAUCCAGUAUCUGCAGAGUGAGGUGCCUCGUGGAGAGCAGAGAGAUGCUUCUCCUAUCCUUGGGAAGGUCCAGCUCUGCCUGUGGCUGGCAGUGGUCUGGGAUUGUCCCUUUCCUGGAGGGCUGUAGCUCCUUAGGAGUGUCAUACUGAGAUUGGUCAGAUGAGAGAUCGGCCAACCUGUGGCAGAGACCAAAGAAGGAGCAGGGAUGAAAGCCGGACAAUGAUCUGCAGAGUAAGAGCAAAUGGAAGCUUGCUGAAGUUCAGUAUUGAGGGAGGGCUGCAAAUACUCUCAUCAGUGGAGAGAAUUUUACCACGGAGAAAGAAGUGAAGGGUAAGAGCCCACCCCCGUUUUGAGAUGGAAAGCACCAAGAGCCGUGAGACCACAUGCGUUGUCGAUGCCAGGCUAUGGCGAUGCCGUCGAUCUGGGAGUGGAGCAGCCGUCACCAUCAGUGAGAUAAGUGUCUGUCUGGUUUGGGGAGGACUCCGGUAACGGCCCACCUGUCUCCAGGCUAAGACUUGUCAUUAGCUGGGGCUCAGUUUGUAGGAAAAGAUUCCUGACCUGCUGUGGUUACGAGGGAGACAAGGUCCCCAUUUUCAGGGGCUGGUCUUUUCUCUGUCCACAAACAGU
Molecule: long non-coding RNA, 1776 nt
Organism: Mauremys mutica (yellowpond turtle)
Lineage: Eukaryota; Metazoa; Chordata; Testudines; Geoemydidae
Exons: 4
Source: RefSeq, a predicted model, not a curated record